This 2388-nucleotide ribosomal RNA is filed under the name Staphylococcus aureus. RNAcentral's name for it is "bacterial LSU rRNA". It matches the Rfam family "Bacterial large subunit ribosomal RNA", at positions 435 to 2830 of the family's 2925-position model. The record is from RNAcentral. Lineage: Bacteria; Bacillati; Bacillota; Bacilli; Caryophanales; Staphylococcaceae.
CGUCGGAAUCUGGGAGGACCAUCUCCUAAGGCUAAAUACUCUCUAGUGACCGAUAGUGAACCAGUACCGUGAGGGAAAGGUGAAAAGCACCCCGGAAGGGGAGUGAAAUAGAACCUGAAACCGUGUGCUUACAAGUAGUCAGAGCCCGUUAAUGGGUGAUGGCGUGCCUUUUGUAGAAUGAACCGGCGAGUUACGAUUUGAUGCAAGGUUAAGCAGUAAAUGUGGAGCCGUAGCGAAAGCGAGUCUGAAUAGGGCGUUUAGUAUUUGGUCGUAGACCCGAAACCAGGUGAUCUACCCUUGGUCAGGUUGAAGUUCAGGUAACACUGAAUGGAGGACCGAACCGACUUACGUUGAAAAGUGAGCGGAUGAACUGAGGGUAGCGGAGAAAUUCCAAUCGAACCUGGAGAUAGCUGGUUCUCUCCGAAAUAGCUUUAGGGCUAGCCUCAAGUGAUGAUUAUUGGAGGUAGAGCACUGUUUGGACGAGGGGCCCCUCUCGGGUUACCGAAUUCAGACAAACUCCGAAUGCCAAUUAAUUUAACUUGGGAGUCAGAACAUGGGUGAUAAGGUCCGUGUUCGAAAGGGAAACAGCCCAGACCACCAGCUAAGGUCCCAAAAUAUAUGUUAAGUGGAAAAGGAUGUGGCGUUGCCCAGACAACUAGGAUGUUGGCUUAGAAGCAGCCAUCAUUUAAAGAGUGCGUAAUAGCUCACUAGUCGAGUGACACUGCGCCGAAAAUGUACCGGGGCUAAACAUAUUACCGAAGCUGUGGAUUGUCCUUUGGACAAUGGUAGGAGAGCGUUCUAAGGGCGUUGAAGCAUGAUCGUAAGGACAUGUGGAGCGCUUAGAAGUGAGAAUGCCGGUGUGAGUAGCGAAAGACGGGUGAGAAUCCCGUCCACCGAUUGACUAAGGUUUCCAGAGGAAGGCUCGUCCGCUCUGGGUUAGUCGGGUCCUAAGCUGAGGCCGACAGGCGUAGGCGAUGGAUAACAGGUUGAUAUUCCUGUACCACCUAUAAUCGUUUUAAUCGAUGGGGGGACGCAGUAGGAUAGGCGAAGCGUGCGAUUGGAUUGCACGUCUAAGCAGUAAGGCUGAGUAUUAGGCAAAUCCGGUACUCGUUAAGGCUGAGCUGUGAUGGGGAGAAGACAUUGAGUCUUCGAGUCGUUGAUUUCACACUGCCGAGAAAAGCCUCUAGAUAGAAAAUAGGUGCCCGUACCGCAAACCGACACAGGUAGUCAAGAUGAGAAUUCUAAGGUGAGCGAGCGAACUCUCGUUAAGGAACUCGGCAAAAUGACCCCGUAACUUCGGGAGAAGGGGUGCUCUUUAGGGUUAACGCCCAGAAGAGCCGCAGUGAAUAGGCCCAAGCGACUGUUUAUCAAAAACACAGGUCUCUGCUAAACCGUAAGGUGAUGUAUAGGGGCUGACGCCUGCCCGGUGCUGGAAGGUUAAGAGGAGUGGUUAGCUUCUGCGAAGCUACGAAUCGAAGCCCCAGUAAACGGCGGCCGUAACUAUAACGGUCCUAAGGUAGCGAAAUUCCUUGUCGGGUAAGUUCCGACCCGCACGAAAGGCGUAACGAUUUGGGCACUGUCUCAACGAGAGACUCGGUGAAAUCAUAGUACCUGUGAAGAUGCAGGUUACCCGCGACAGGACGGAAAGACCCCGUGGAGCUUUACUGUAGCCUGAUAUUGAAAUUCGGCACAGCUUGUACAGGAUAGGUAGGAGCCUUUGAAACGUGAGCGCUAGCUUACGUGGAGGCGCUGGUGGGAUACUACCCUAGCUGUGUUGGCUUUCUAACCCGCACCACUUAUCGUGGUGGGAGACAGUGUCAGGCGGGCAGUUUGACUGGGGCGGUCGCCUCCUAAAAGGUAACGGAGGCGCUCAAAGGUUCCCUCAGAAUGGUUGGAAAUCAUUCAUAGAGUGUAAAGGCAUAAGGGAGCUUGACUGCGAGACCUACAAGUCGAGCAGGGUCGAAAGACGGACUUAGUGAUCCGGUGGUUCCGCAUGGAAGGGCCAUCGCUCAACGGAUAAAAGCUACCCCGGGGAUAACAGGCUUAUCUCCCCCAAGAGUUCACAUCGACGGGGAGGUUUGGCACCUCGAUGUCGGCUCAUCGCAUCCUGGGGCUGUAGUCGGUCCCAAGGGUUGGGCUGUUCGCCCAUUAAAGCGGUACGCGAGCUGGGUUCAGAACGUCGUGAGACAGUUCGGUCCCUAUCCGUCGUGGGCGUAGGAAAUUUGAGAGGAGCUGUCCUUAGUACGAGAGGACCGGGAUGGACAUACCUCUGGUGUACCAGUUGUCGUGCCAACGGCAUAGCUGGGUAGCUAUGUGUGGACGGGAUAAGUGCUGAAAGCAUCUAAGCAUGAAGCCCCCCUCAAGAUGAGAUUUCCCAACUUCGGUUAU